GGGUAACCUGCCUGUAAGAUGGGAUAACUCCGGGAAACCGGAGCUAAUACCGGAUAGUUCCUUGAACCGCAUGGUUCAGGAUGAAAGACGGUUUCGGCUGUCACUUACAGAUGGACCCGCGGCGCAUUAGCUAGUUGUGGGGUAAUGGCUCACCAAGGCGACGAUGCGUAGCCGACCUGAGAGGGUGAUCGGCCACCUGGGACUGAGACACGGCCCAGACUCCUACGGGAGGCAGCAGUAGGGAAUCUUCCGCAAGGACGAAAGUCUGACGGAGCAACGCCGCGUGAGUGAUGAAGGUUUUCGGAUCGUAAAGCCUGUUGUUAGGGAAGAACAAGUGCGAGAGUAACUGCUCGCACCUUGACGGUACCUAACCGAAAGCCACGGCUAACUACGUGCCAGCAGCCGCGGUAAUACGUAGGUGGCAAGCGUUGUCGGAAUUAUUGGGCGUAAAGGGCUCGCAGGCGGUUUCUUAAGUCUGAUGUGAAAGCCCCGGCUCAACCGGGGAGGGUCAUUGGAAACUGGGAAACUUGAGUGCAGAAGAGGAGAGUGGAUUCCACGUGUAGCGGUGAAAUGCGUAGAGAUGUGGAGGAACACCAGUGGCGAAGGCGAUCUCUGGUCUGUAACUGACGCUGAGGAGCGAAAGCGUGGGGAGCGAACAGGAUUAGAUACCUGGUAGUCCACGCCGUAAACGAUGAGUGCUAAGUGUUAGGGGGUUUCCGCCCCUUAGGCUGCAGCUAACGCAUUAAGCACUCCGCCUGGGGAGUACGGUCGCAAGACUGAAACUCAAGGAAUUGACGGGGGCCCGCACAAGCGGUGGAGCAUGUGGUUUAAUUCGAAGCAACGCGAGAACCUUACCAGGUCUUGACAUCCUCUGACAACCCUAGAGAUAGGGCUUUCCCUUCGGGACAGAGUGACAGGUGGUGCAUGGUUGUCGUCAGCUCGUGUCGUGAGAUGUUGGGUUAAUCCCGCAACGAGCGCAACCCUUGAUCUUAGUUGCCAGCAUUYAGUUGGGCACUCUAAGGGACUGCCGGUGACAAACCGGAGGAAGGUGGGGAUGACGUCAAAUCAUCAUGCCCCUUAUACCUGGGCUACACACGUGCUACAAUGGACAGAACAAAGGGCUGCGAGACCGCAAGGUUUGCCAAUCCCACAAAUCUGUUCUCAGUUCGGAUCGCAGUCUGCAACUCGACUGCGUGAAGUGGAAUCGCUAGUAAUCGCGGAUCAGC
Molecule: ribosomal RNA, 1226 nt
Filed under: Bacillus pumilus
Lineage: Bacteria; Bacillati; Bacillota; Bacilli; Caryophanales; Bacillaceae
Description: bacterial SSU rRNA
Rfam family: Bacterial small subunit ribosomal RNA
Source: RNAcentral